UACGAAGGGGGCGAGCGUUGUUCGGAUUUAUUGGGCGUAAAGCGCGCGCAGGCGGUCCUUUAAGUCUGAUGUGAAAUCUUGCGGCUCAACCGCAAGCGGUCAUUGGAAACUGGGGGACUUGAGUACAGAAGAGGAAAGCGGAAUUCCACGUGUAGCGGUGAAAUGCGUAGAGAUGUGGAGGAACACCAGUGGCGAAGGCGGCUUUCUGGUCUGUAACUGACGCUGAGGCGCGAAAGCGUGGGGAGCAAACAGG
Molecule: ribosomal RNA, 253 nt
Filed under: uncultured bacterium
Lineage: Bacteria
Description: partial 16S ribosomal RNA
Rfam family: Bacterial small subunit ribosomal RNA
Source: RNAcentral